ACCAGACUCCUACGGGAGGCAGCAGUGAGGAAUAUUGGUCAAUGGCCGGAAGGCUGAACCAGCCAAGUCGCGUGAGGGAAGAAGGUACUGAGUAUUGUAAACCUCUUUUGCCAGGGGACAAAGGCGGCCACGGGUGGCCGUAAGAGGGUACCUGGAGAAAAAGCAUCGGCUAACUCCGUGCCAGCAGCCGCGGUAAUCCGGAGGGUGCAAGCGUUGUCCGGAAUCAUUGGGCGUAAAGAGUUCGUAGGCGGCAUGUAAAGUCAGGUGUUAAAGGCGCAGGCUCAACCUGUGUAUGGCACUUGAUACUUGCAAGCUGGAAUGCGGUAGAGGUAAAGGGAAUUCCUGGUGUAGCGGUGAAAUGCUUAGAUAUCAGGAGGAACAUCGGUGGCGUAAGCGCUUUACUGGGCCGUAAUUGACGCUGAGGAACGAAAGCCAGGGUAGCAAAUGGGAUUAGAUACCCCCGUAA
RNAcentral lists this ribosomal RNA (466 nucleotides) under uncultured bacterium. RNAcentral's name for it is "partial 16S ribosomal RNA". It matches the Rfam family "Bacterial small subunit ribosomal RNA", at positions 330 to 793 of the family's 1533-position model. The record is from RNAcentral.